Molecule: ribosomal RNA, 232 nt
Filed under: uncultured bacterium
Lineage: Bacteria
Description: partial 16S ribosomal RNA
Rfam family: Bacterial small subunit ribosomal RNA
Source: RNAcentral
CGGACGGGUGAGUAACACAUAGGAAUCUGCCCAGUAGCGGGGGACAACUUGGGGAAACUCAAGCUAAUACCGCAUACGCCCUACGGGGGAAAGCGGGGGACCUUCGGGCCUCGCACUAUUGGAUGAGCCUAUGUCAGAUUAGCUUGUUGGUGGGGUAAUGGCCUACCAAGGCGACGAUCUGUAGCUGGUCUGAGAGGACGAUCAGCCACACUGGGACUGAGACACGGCCCAG